This 73-nucleotide transfer RNA is filed under the name Pteropus alecto (black flying fox). It matches the Rfam family "tRNA". From Rfam's summary of the family: Transfer RNA (tRNA) molecules are approximately 80 nucleotides in length. Their secondary structure includes four short double-helical elements and three loops (D, anti-codon, and T loops). Lineage: Eukaryota; Metazoa; Chordata; Mammalia; Chiroptera; Pteropodidae. The record is from Rfam by way of RNAcentral.
GGUUUCAGAGUGUAGCGGUUAGCAUGUCUGUUUUACACGUAGAAAGUCCUGGGUUCAUGCACCAGUGGAGCCC